RNAcentral lists this transfer RNA (74 nucleotides) under Dysgonamonadaceae bacterium. Its description in RNAcentral is "tRNA-Arg". It matches the Rfam family "tRNA". From Rfam's summary of the family: Transfer RNA (tRNA) molecules are approximately 80 nucleotides in length. Their secondary structure includes four short double-helical elements and three loops (D, anti-codon, and T loops). Further hydrogen bonds mediate the characteristic L-shaped molecular structure. tRNAs have two regions of fundamental functional importance: the anti-codon, which is responsible for specific mRNA codon recognition, and the 3' end, to which the tRNAs corresponding amino acid is attached (by aminoacyl-tRNA synthetases). tRNAs cope with the degeneracy of the genetic code in two manners: having more than one tRNA (with a specific anti-codon) for a particular amino acid; and 'wobble' base-pairing, i.e. permitting non-standard base-pairing at the 3rd anti-codon position. The record is from RNAcentral. RNAcentral also lists the same sequence under 1 other name. Lineage: Bacteria; Pseudomonadati; Bacteroidota; Bacteroidia; Bacteroidales; Dysgonomonadaceae.
GGCUUCGUAGCUCAACUGAAUAGAGCAUCUGACUACGGAUCAGAAGGUUGGGGGUUUGAAUCCCUCCGGAGUCA